CUCGCCAAGUUGCUGCCUCCGCGCUCGGCGCCCGCCGCGGGGGGAACGGCGUAGAGAGGCCGCGGGGCUGCGCGGGGCGAACCGAACCCCGCCCGCCCCAGCCGUCGGGGCGGGGCGGGGGCGGCGGAGAUGAAAGGCGCCGCCGCCGUGAGUGACAUCGGGGAGGAGGGGGGGCGGCAGGGAAGGGGCCGGGCCGGGCCCCGGGAAAGUUUGCCGAGGCGGCCGCCGCGUGGGUACGCUCGUGCGGGGCCGGGAGCGUUGCGGGGCCGGGAGCGCUGCGGGAGCGGUGCCCCUCUCCUCCCCGUUGGGAGCGAACACGCGUUCGAAAGAUUUUGUCGAUAACCAAAAAAAUUAAAGGCAAAAUCCAAACAAAAGCAUCCGACGCGCUCGCUCGGGAAACAUCGGAGCGACGCCGCUCGUUGCGUUCGGUGCGGGGCAUCCUCCGGACCACCGCUCCUCGCCAUCCCGGCCCCGUCGCCGGGGCUCCCCGGGCCCUUCCCGUGCCUGGUUUUUCUGCGCACCCAGAAUUGCGUUAUAGCAGAAUGUCGUGGGGUUUUGGUUGCUUUCUUUUAUUUUUUUCUUUUCCAUUCUCGCGCGCCUUUUUAGCUUCGUUUGGCCGUUUCAGCAGUUGGGAUGUUUCAUCAUUAGUACUUUUGUGAUGAUUAUUUUACGAUUAUUUUAUUUUGCGGCCCCGACGGCCGACCCCGCUCUACCCCAGCCCCACCGCCGGGGAAGGAGGGGAGUCAGAACGCAGCCGUCAGUCCCCACUCACAAACCCCCCCCGGUUGCGUGCGGAGCGGCGCCCCCUAUAUAGGGGAGGGCGGGAGCGGGGCGGGGCGGCGGCGCUUUGAUGUCCCGCCGGCGGCCCCUUUCAUCCCCCCCCCGUCGGCCCCCCCGGGCCCUUUGUGCGCCUAAAUUUGGCAGGAGCAUGGAGGCGCGCCAGGGCGCCCACGUGUGCGCCGAGCUCCCAGCUGAGCCGGCCCCGGGUUUUCUUCCGGGUAAGGAGACAGCGGGGGAGAUCAAAGAGUUUGGGGAGCCGAAGCCGAAAUGUGCAUGGAAAUAGGGGGAAAUCAUCGCCGUCGUCGUAAUAAAAAUAAGACCCAAAAAAAUCCUGCCGCCUGGACGCGUGCCAGCCCGGAGCCACGGGGGAAAGCAGCGCGCGUGGUGGGGAGGGAGAGGAGGGAUGGAGCGGGUUUUCUCCGAGAGGAAAAAAUGAAAUGAAAUGAAAUGAAAUGAAAUAAAAUAAAAUAAAAUAAAAUAAAAUAAAAUAAAAU
Molecule: long non-coding RNA, 1274 nt
Filed under: Gallus gallus (chicken)
Lineage: Eukaryota; Metazoa; Chordata; Aves; Galliformes; Phasianidae
Source: RNAcentral